UACGUAGGGGGCAAGCGUUGUCCGGAAUUAUUGGGCGUAAAGAGCUCGUAGGCGGUCUGUCACGUCGGCUGUGAAAUCCCGAGGCUCAACCUCGGGUCUGCAGUCGAUACGGGCAAACUAGAGUAUUGCAGGGGAGACUGGAAUUCCUGGUGUAGCGGUGAAAUGCGCAGAUAUCAGGAGGAACACCGAUGGCGAAGGCAGGUCUCUGGGCAUUAACUGACGCUGAGGAGCGAAAGCAUGGGGAGCGAACAGG
RNAcentral lists this ribosomal RNA (253 nucleotides) under uncultured bacterium. Its description in RNAcentral is "partial 16S ribosomal RNA". It matches the Rfam family "Bacterial small subunit ribosomal RNA", at positions 524 to 776 of the family's 1533-position model. The record is from RNAcentral.